AGCGAACGCUGGCGGCAGGCUUAACACAUGCAAGUCGAGCGGGCGUAGCAAUACGUCAGCGGCAGACGGGUGAGUAACGCGUGGGAACGUACCUUUUGGUUCGGAACAACACAGGGAGACUUGUGCUAAUACCGGAUAAGCCCUUACGGGGAAAGAUUUAUCGCCGAAAGAUCGGCCCGCGUCUGAUUAGCUAGUUGGUAGGGUAAUGGCCUACCAAGGCGACGAUCAGUAGCCGGUCUGAGAGGAUGAUCAGCCACAUUGGGACUGAGACACGGCCCAAACUCCUACGGGAGGCAGCAGUGGGGAAUAUUGGACAAUGGGGGCAACCCUGAUCCAGCCAUGCCGCGUGAGUGAUGAAGGCCCUAGGGUUGUAAAGCUCUUUUGUGCGGGAAGAUAAUGACGGUACCGCAAGAAUAAGCCCCGGCUAACUUCGUGCCAGCCGCCGCAGUAA
This 451-nucleotide ribosomal RNA is filed under the name uncultured bacterium. RNAcentral's name for it is "partial 16S ribosomal RNA". It matches the Rfam family "Bacterial small subunit ribosomal RNA", at positions 29 to 523 of the family's 1533-position model. The record is from RNAcentral.